GAUGAACGCUGGCGGCGUGCCUAAUGCAUGCAAGUCGAACGAAACUUCUUUAUCACCGAGUGCUUGCACUCACCGAUAAAGAGUUGAGUGGCGAACGGGUGAGUAACACGUGGGCAACCUGCCCAAAAGAGGGGGAUAACACUUGGAAACAGGUGCUAAUACCGCAUAACCAUAGUUACCGCAUGGUAACUAUGUAAAAGGUGGCUAUACUACCGCUUUUGGAUGGGCCCGCGGCGCAUUAGCUAGUUGGUAGGGUAAAGGCUUACCAAGGCAAUGAUGCGUAGCCGAAUUGAGAGGUUGAUCGGCCACAUUGGGACUGAGACACGGCCCAAACUCCUACGGGAGGCAGCAGUAGGGAAUCUUCCACAAUGGGCGAAAGCCUGAUGGAGCAACGCCGCGUGGGUGAAGAAGGUCUUCGGAUCGUAAAACCCUGUUGUUAGAGAAGAAAGUGCGUGAGAGUAACUGUUCACGUUUCGACGGUAUCUAACCAGAAAGCCACUGCUAACUACGUG
This 512-nucleotide ribosomal RNA is filed under the name uncultured bacterium. RNAcentral's name for it is "partial 16S ribosomal RNA". It matches the Rfam family "Bacterial small subunit ribosomal RNA", at positions 28 to 507 of the family's 1533-position model. The record is from RNAcentral.